CUGAACUUCUUUAUGUUCAUCUUGCUCCAAUGAGCUAGAAACAAUUCUAAUAUACAAUUGCUUUAUACAAUAAGUUUGUAUAUUAACCUAAUGGCUAAUAUACAAUUGAUUUUCCUUUCCUCUUCUUACUUGAACUAGCAUCGUAUUGAUCUUUGUCACCUCCCUCAACAAUUUCAAAUUGCUUCGAUUUUGCACUAAUUU
Molecule: long non-coding RNA, 201 nt
Filed under: Solanum tuberosum (potato)
Lineage: Eukaryota; Viridiplantae; Streptophyta; Magnoliopsida; Solanales; Solanaceae
Description: long non-coding RNA (STUB_LNC005821)
Source: RNAcentral